RNAcentral lists this long non-coding RNA (201 nucleotides) under Elaeis guineensis (African oil palm). RNAcentral describes it as "long non-coding RNA (EGUI_LNC054443)". The record is from RNAcentral. Lineage: Eukaryota; Viridiplantae; Streptophyta; Magnoliopsida; Arecales; Arecaceae.
AUUGCAUUUGGACCAUCUUGAUCAGCCCAAAAAUCAUAGAUCAAGUCCUUUUAUCGAUCAAAAACAAUUCUGGCCAUUGGAUUAAUCACUGAAUUUGAUUUCAACCAUUAAUCAACACAUUUUAUCUCCUUAACACAAUCAAAAAUGUUCUCAACUAUUGGAUCAGACUCUAGAUUGAUUCUGGAUCAUUGGAUCGCACCC